Molecule: ribosomal RNA, 1540 nt
Filed under: Dermatocarpon miniatum
Lineage: Eukaryota; Fungi; Ascomycota; Eurotiomycetes; Verrucariales; Verrucariaceae
Description: LSU rRNA
Rfam family: Eukaryotic large subunit ribosomal RNA
Source: RNAcentral
AUAUCAAUAAGCGGAGGAAAAGAAACCAACAGGGAUUGCCCCAGUAACGGCGAGUGAAGCGGCAACAGCUCAAAUUUGAAAUCUGGCCCCCCCUCGGGGGUCCGAGUUGUAAUUUGUAGAGGAUGCUUCGGGCGAGGCCGCGGUCUAAUGCGCUUGGAACAGCGAGUCAGAGAGGGUGAGAGUCCCGUCUAGGGCCGGGGACCGCGCCCGUGUGAAGCUCCUUCGACGAGUCGAGUUGUUUGGGAAUGCAGCUCUAAAUGGGUGGUAAAUUUCAUCUAAAGCUAAAUACUGGCCAGAGACCGAUAGCGCACAAGUAGAGUGAUCGAAAGAUGAAAAGCACUUUGAAAAGAGAGUUAAACAGUAUGUGAAAUUGUUGAAAGGGAAGCGCUUGCGACCAGACUUGGGGGUGGUGGUUCCCCCGGUCUUCUGACCGGGCUACUCCGCCACGUCCAGGCCAGCAUCGGUUCAGGUGGUCGGUAAAAGACCCCGGGAAUGUAUCUACCUCCGGGUCGACUUAUAGCCCGGGGUGUCAUGCGGCCCACCUGGACCGAGGAACGCGCUCCGGCUCGGAUGCUGGCGUAAUGGUCGUAAGCGGCCCGUCUUGAAACACGGACCAAGGAGUCUAACAUCUAUGCGAGUGUUUGGGUGCCUAAACCCCUACGCGAAAUGAAAGUGAAGGGAGGUAAGAGCCCCCCACCCCGGGGGGCGCAUUAUCGACCGAUCCUGAUGUCUUCGGAUGGAUUUGAGUAAGAGCAUGGCUGUUGGGACCCGAAAGAUGGUGAACUAUGCCUGAAUAGGGUGAAGCCAGAGGAAACUCUGGUGGAGGCUCGCAGCGGUUCUGACGUGCAAAUCGAUCGUCAAAUUUGGGCAUAGGGGCGAAAGACUAAUCGAACCAUCUGGUAGCUGGUUCCUGCCGAAGUUUCCCUCAGGAUAGCAGUAACGUUUUCAGUUUUAUGAGGUAAAGCGAAUGAUUAGAGGCCUUGGGGCUGAAACAGCCUUAACCUAUUCUCAAACUUUAAAUAUGUAAGAAGUCCUUGUUACUUGGCUGAACGUGGACAUUUGAAUGUAUCGUUACUAGUGGGCCAUUUUUGGUAAGCAGAACNGGCGAUGCGGGAUGAACCGAACGCGAGGUUAAGGUGCCGGAAUGCACGCUCAUCAGACACCACAAAAGGUGUCAAUGCAUCCAGACAGCCGGACGGUGGCCAUGGAAGUCGGAAUCCGCUUAGGAGUGUGUGAUCCCGCGGCUUCCCGGGUUGCUGUUGCACACGAGGAACCCCGCCCCAGGGGGGUUAGUUGACCGGUGACACGGUUCAGCGAUGGCUCUAUUGCACCGGGAGUCUCUUCAUCGGGAUGACCGGUCGUAGGCCCGUUCCGCGGGUCUAUCUACAGACUAGAGAGAGCCGAUCGGAGCCCGCGGGCUCCGGUUAAGACAUAGUCGAUCCGGGCCUCCCUGCGAGGCCCGUCGGGCGAGAACAACUCACCGGCCGAAUGCAUUGGCCCUGAAAAUGGAUGGCGCUUAAGCGUGCUACCUAUACCUCGC